This 3123-nucleotide long non-coding RNA is filed under the name Sorghum bicolor (sorghum). RNAcentral's name for it is "long non-coding RNA (SBIC_LNC017751)". The record is from RNAcentral. Lineage: Eukaryota; Viridiplantae; Streptophyta; Magnoliopsida; Poales; Poaceae.
AACCGCUAAGAAAGGAAAGCUUCCACAAGAUGAUACUGUACCAUCACUCUUCGAGCAAGGUAACAUCUUAAGGUACUUGACUAUCACUUUUAUAAGCUUCUCCUUGGUUCUGGCGUUCAUAUAAAUAAAAGAGACAAACGUGUAUGAUUUACAACUCUAGAUUAACCAACCCAACUGAUUCAACAUGUUUAGUCCUUUAAUCCUUGUUCUUAGUACUACCUCCAUGAUCCCACACUCCUAAUCAUAUGAGCUAAAAUGUUACACAUUCAAUCAUUGAGAGAUAUAAAGAAAAAGACAUAUACAUAGAUAGAUUAUCUUUUCAUAAGGUUGAGCGAUCUGAUCUGACAAAUGUUAUAAGUGUUACAUUCAUGAACUUAUCAUCCAUCAACUUGUCUUGCUCACUAUGCUUAAGGUUAGAGAAGAACAAAUACACUUUUGGUUCUGUUGGUGUUUUCCACCAACAGGGCCCAUGCACUUGAUCUCUGCCUUGUCUCUAUGAGCAGGUACACUACGAGCACAAACACACUGAGCAAGAUACUGCUAACACCGCACUUCGAACUGCUGGGCAAAUGAAGAACAUGGGUGACACCGUAUUAAAAGGUGCAGACGUCAAGGUCCGCACCUGAAUCAAAUGACGCACCUGAAGAAUGAACACGAUGAGAAGUCUUGACAAGAAGACUUAAAACAUUGAACCCUCGCCGAAAGGUAAGAUUGGUAGUUAUCCAUAUUUAUCCUUUCUGCAUUCCCUUUUUCCUUUAAUUAUUUACUUUCUUUAAAUAGAUUAUUAGUUAAUCAUGCUAUCUUGAAAAGAAAAUAAAAAUGUUAAAAAAUACUAAGCCCCAUGUGAGUAUACGAGUGGCAUAAAACCCAUAAGUACCUUCACUGUGGUGGCAUAAAAAUAAAAUAAAUAUUUCUUUUUUACUUUAUAAAAUAAAAAUAUAAAAAUAAGGAGUAAUAUUUAUUGAGGAAGCUCAACGUGAUGAAGGCUAGAUAUUUAUGCUAACACUUAAUUAGUUCCACAAGCUUUGUUGUCUAUUUGAGCUCCACAGAAUUUAAGAAUCAAGAAGACUAGCAGACGGAGGACAUUCUAAUCGCUGUCAGAAUGCUACUGAUUUUCAAAUACACCUCUGCCACCUGCUAGCUACAUCAAGAGAAAUUACGUCAAAAUUCAGCUUGGGGGAGAGCACCCCCAUUUAUCUCGCUAAGUAUUUCUACCUAUCUUUAUACUUAUAUUAUAUUAGAAUAUUAAAAUACAUAAACUAUGAAAAACCAAAUAAAGAUUUUGUGCUUAUAUAUAUAUCUUUUGUUUAGUGUGUUUAAUAAAUAAAUAAAGUGGCUAUGCUAAUCUGAAUCUUAAUAAUAAAACUCUAGCAUGGAUAUGAUGAAUAGUUGCUCUGCCUAAUUUGCAAAUUUGAAGUUCUCUCUCAAGUUUAGACAUAACUGUUAUAAUUUAAAGCUUGCUCUAGAUCUAAACUUGUGGGAUGAAAACUUGAUCUGAAAUCUAAGUUGUUAACGGAUAUGAUAUGGGAAGGUUGAGCUGCUAUUUAUCUGUUCCUAGAGAUGCUAGAAUUCUGGAGAAUUUUAUCUUUGAAAAAUCUUUAAAAUAUUGCAUGAUGAGUUCCUGUAUGAUGAAAGUUUAAAUUCCUACCUCAGCCAUAUAUACAUGCUUGCUAGAUUUUGAGCCACACAUUUAUUAUUUACUGCUUAUGAGCAUUGAGUGUGGUCAAGCUGUGUAGACCCUUAGGAGCUUGUCAUGUGGUUAAAUCAAGAUUCACUUGCACGUUCACUCAUAUAUAUGCUACUUCUACUCCGGAAGUACCAUCCACAUAUAUCCAUUUCCAUCUCCAGAACCACCCAAAAAUAUUCUACUCCUAAUCCGGGAGAGAAUAGCAAAAAAUAUUUGUGUUUUUCCCUUGUGAAAUAAAUGCUCAAGUUAUCUUGCUACUACCACUUGCUAUAUUAUCUCAAGAGAUGAGUGCUCUGAAAAAAAAAGAGAGAAGAAAAAAAAGAGAAAAGAAAAAAAAAUAUAAACGAGAAAAUAAAAAGGGGCAAGUGCCCGGAACCUCGAAAGAAAAGAAAAAGAGUGAGACGAGAGGUAAAAAUGGACAAGUGUCCGACAGUAGAAUUAGAGGUACAGGAUACCCAUCUGAGAAAAAAGAAAAAGAAGAGCAUCUCAUUCUCCUCAUAAAGUUUCAAAAAAGCAAGGAAGGUAUGUAUCCCCUCAAAAGAGCAAAAGUAGAAUUAGACUUUCACCAUUGUUAUCACCAUCAUCACCAUACACUAUUCAUUCGCCACACAUGCACAUCUUGAUUUGGCUUAUUGAUUUGUUUCUUUGGAUCCAUGGUUUGACUAUACAAUAAAUGUCUUGUAAGUAUGUAUAUUUUAUCUCCCACCUAUGAGCUCCAGAUAUUAAAGCCUUAUUAGAGUAGGAUGAGAGAGAAGACAAUGUCACUAUCCCUUAUACCACAAAUACCACAUAUUUUGAGAGAAGGCAUAUACCAUCACUGCCUUGGUAAGGAUCCAGAAAUACCACAAAAGAGAGAUUUAGAGAGUCAUACAAGGAAUCUCUGAGUUUUAUUUGAAAAUCUGCAAAAACUCUAGAGUUAUAGCUGAUCAAGAAUAAGAGACAUGGCACUUGACUAGACUGUUCUAUCUUUUAACUGCUCAAGAUGGAAGUGACGGUUACAAGUCCCAUAGUGAAAGGUAAAGUAAGUAAGUUUUAAGUCUUGACAGUUUACUCUAACUCAGAGAUAAGACCUCAUUUAAAAAGCAUGUGUACCGUCAACUUUUAAAAAUAUUGCAACAACUUCUGAUCCAUCGCUGAGAUUAUCCUUGCUCAGGGACGAGCAAGAGUUAAGCUUGAGGGAGUUUGUUGACGGUCCUUAAGUAUCAAAUUUAACUAUCAAAUAAACAAAGAAAAGGAUCCAAAUGAAAUCAUCAUCGAGACUUAGGGUUUUAUCUGACAGAAUUCCACGAGUUUUGGUGUUCGUCUAUUUCUGCAGGGGGUUAUCAGGAAAUAAGGAAGAAAGGCCCACACGUCGGGAUUACAUAGAGAUAUCGACGUGCCGCGCAAUUAUCUCACAUCUAGAAGACUCCAGAAGCCACGGGAAGGAAGCGGAGACC